AAAACGACUCUCGGCAACGGAUAUCUCGGCUCACGCAUCGAUGAAGAACGUAGCAAAAUGCGAUACUUGGUGUGAAUUGCAGAAUCCCGUGAACCAUCGAGUUUUUGAACGCAAGUUGCGCCCGAAGCCAUCCGGCCGAGGGCACGUCUGCCUGGGCGUCACGC
RNAcentral lists this ribosomal RNA (164 nucleotides) under Nouelia insignis. RNAcentral describes it as "5.8S ribosomal RNA". It matches the Rfam family "5.8S ribosomal RNA". From Rfam's summary of the family: 5.8S ribosomal RNA (5.8S rRNA) is a component of the large subunit of the eukaryotic ribosome. It is transcribed by RNA polymerase I as part of the 45S precursor that also contains 18S and 28S rRNA. RNAcentral also lists the same sequence under 5 other names. The record is from RNAcentral. Lineage: Eukaryota; Viridiplantae; Streptophyta; Magnoliopsida; Asterales; Asteraceae.